GAUGAAGAACGUAGCGAAAUGCGAUACUUGGUGUGAAUUGCAGAAUCCCGUGAACCAUCGAGUCUUUGAACGCAAGUUGCGCCCGAAGCCAUUAGGCCGAGGGCACGCCUGCCUGGGCGUCACACGUCGUUGCCCCCCCAUCUACUCCUUCGGGAUUGCGGGGGGCGGAUGCUGGCCUCCCGUGCGCCUCGCCGCGCGGUUGGCAUAAAUGCCAAGUCCUCGGCGACGCACGCCACGACAAUCGGUGGUUGCGAAACCUCGGUUGCCCGUCGUGUGCGGUCGUCGCGCAUCGAGGGCUCGAAAAAAUUGCCGGGUUCCGGCUCGGCUUUCAACGCGACCCCAGGUCAGGCGGGGUUACCCGCUGAAUUUAAGCAUAUCAAUAAGCGGAGGA
This 391-nucleotide unclassified non-coding RNA is filed under the name soil metagenome. RNAcentral's name for it is "partial contains 5.8S ribosomal RNA, internal transcribed spacer 2, and large subunit ribosomal RNA". The stretch from base 1 to 122 matches the Rfam family "5.8S ribosomal RNA", at positions 35 to 154 of the family's 154-position model. The record is from RNAcentral.